This 492-nucleotide ribosomal RNA is filed under the name uncultured bacterium. Its description in RNAcentral is "partial 16S ribosomal RNA". It matches the Rfam family "Bacterial small subunit ribosomal RNA", at positions 29 to 507 of the family's 1533-position model. The record is from RNAcentral.
AGUGAACGCUGGCGGUAGGCCUAACACAUGCAAGUCGAACGGCAGCACAGUAAGAGCUUGCUCUUACGGGUGGCGAGUGGCGGACGGGUGAGGAAUACAUCGGAAUCUACUUUUUCGUGGGGGAUAACGUAGGGAAACUUACGCUAAUACCGCAUACGACCUACGGGUGAAAGCAGGGGAUCUUCGGACCUUGCGCGAUUGAAUGAGCCGAUGUCGGAUUAGCUAGUUGGCGGGGUAAAGGCCCACCAAGGCGACGAUCCGUAGCUGGUCUGAGAGGAUGAUCAGCCAAACUGGAACUGAGACACGGUCCAGACUCCUACGGGAGGAAGCAGUGGGGAAUAUUGGACAAUGGGCGCACGCCUGAUCCAGCAAUACCGCGUGGGUGAAGAAGGCCUUCGGGUUGUAAAGCCCUUUUGUUGGGAAAGAAAAGCAGCAGGUUAAUACCCCGCUGUUCUGACGGUACCCAAAGAAUAAGCACCGGCUAACUUCGUG